Molecule: ribosomal RNA, 625 nt
Filed under: Enterobacter sp.
Lineage: Bacteria; Pseudomonadati; Pseudomonadota; Gammaproteobacteria; Enterobacterales; Enterobacteriaceae
Description: bacterial SSU rRNA
Rfam family: Bacterial small subunit ribosomal RNA
Source: RNAcentral
GUAGUCCACGCCGUAAACGAUGUCGACUUGGAGGUUGUGCCCUUGAGGCGUGGCUUCCGGAGCUAACGCGUUAAGUCGACCGCCUGGGGAGUACGGCCGCAAGGUUAAAACUCAAAUGAAUUGACGGGGGCCCGCACAAGCGGUGGAGCAUGUGGUUUAAUUCGAUGCAACGCGAAGAACCUUACCUACUCUUGACAUCCAGAGAACUUAGCAGAGAUGCUUUGGUGCCUUCGGGAACUCUGAGACAGGUGCUGCAUGGCUGUCGUCAGCUCGUGUUGUGAAAUGUUGGGUUAAGUCCCGCAACGAGCGCAACCCUUAUCCUUUGUUGCCAGCGGUCCGGCCGGGAACUCAAAGGAGACUGCCAGUGAUAAACUGGAGGAAGGUGGGGAUGACGUCAAGUCAUCAUGGCCCUUACGAGUAGGGCUACACACGUGCUACAAUGGCGCAUACAAAGAGAAGCGACCUCGCGAGAGCAAGCGGACCUCAUAAAGUGCGUCGUAGUCCGGAUUGGAGUCUGCAACUCGACUCCAUGAAGUCGGAAUCGCUAGUAAUCGUGGAUCAGAAUGCCACGGUGAAUACGUUCCCGGGCCUUGUACACACCGCCCGUCACACCAUGGGAGUGGGU